Molecule: ribosomal RNA, 253 nt
Filed under: uncultured bacterium
Lineage: Bacteria
Description: partial 16S ribosomal RNA
Rfam family: Bacterial small subunit ribosomal RNA
Source: RNAcentral
UACAGAGGUCUCAAGCGUUGUUCGGAUUCAUUGGGCGUAAAGGGUGCGUAGGUGGCGAGGUUAGUCAGGUGUGAAAUCUCGGGGCUCAACCCCGAAACUGCACUUGAUACUGCCUUGCUAGAGUACUGGAGAGGAGAUUGGAAUUUACGGUGUAGCAGUGAAAUGCGUAGAUAUCGUAAGGAAGACCAGUGGCGAAGGCGAAUCUCUGGACAGUUACUGACACUGAGAGACGAAAGCUAGGGGAGCGAAUGGG